UUAUAAAACAAUAAUUAAACUUUCCAAAAAAAGUGUAAGGUUUUUCUUAAACUAUAUAAAUAGAAAU
This 67-nucleotide transfer RNA is filed under the name Plateros sp. UPOL A00487. RNAcentral's name for it is "tRNA-Gln". Lineage: Eukaryota; Metazoa; Arthropoda; Insecta; Coleoptera; Lycidae. The record is from RNAcentral.